AACCUUAGUCGCCUUAUGUAAAUUAAAUUAAACAUACACAUAUAAGUUAAAAACCCUAGCUUACUAAUCCCUCUAGUUAUUCUUCUUUAUUCUACAUUGUUAACCUUCAAAAUAUACCACCCAUAGUCAUUGUCCAUUCGCCACCUCUAGCAAAUCAAUCAAGUAGUUGGCCUUUAAAAACACAUAUGAUGCCAACGACCUUUGAAUCGUGAUAAUAAACAUAAUAUGGUUAUAAUAUUAACACUUCAUCAAUCAUGUAAAUAUAAAUCACAAAAUUAUCACUCAAUCAUAUGAGUAAAACAUCUCAAACUUAAAAAGUUCAAGGCAAUUGCUCUCGCAAAUUCACUGGUAUUUGGAGUCCUCCCAAUAG
This 370-nucleotide long non-coding RNA is filed under the name Carica papaya (papaya). RNAcentral's name for it is "long non-coding RNA (CPAP_LNC002523)". The record is from RNAcentral. Lineage: Eukaryota; Viridiplantae; Streptophyta; Magnoliopsida; Brassicales; Caricaceae.